This 66-nucleotide non-coding RNA is filed under the name unclassified sequences. The record is from Rfam.
GUAUUAAACUAACUUGCACAUCAGAGGUGUAAGCGGUUACAAGUCCGCAUAAAUAGUGAGUAGUAC